RNAcentral lists this ribosomal RNA (492 nucleotides) under uncultured bacterium. RNAcentral's name for it is "partial 16S ribosomal RNA". It matches the Rfam family "Bacterial small subunit ribosomal RNA", at positions 29 to 507 of the family's 1533-position model. The record is from RNAcentral.
AGUGAACGCUGGCGGUAGGCCUAACACAUGCAAGUCGAACGGCAGCACAGUAAGAGCUUGCUCUUACGGGUGGCGAGUGGCGGACGGGUGAGGAAUACAUCGGAAUCUACUUUUUCGUGGGGGAUAACGUAGGGAAACUUACGCUAAUACCGCAUACGACCUACGGGUGAAAGCAGGGGAUCUUCGGACCUUGCGCGAUUGAAUGAGCCGAUGUCGGAUUAGCUAGUUGGCGGGGUAAAGGCCCACCAAGGCGACGAUCCGUAGCUGGUCUGAGAGGAUGAUCAGCCACACUGGAACUGAGACACGGUCCCGACUCCUACGGGAGGCAGCAGCGGGGAAUAUUGGACAAUGGGCGCAAGCCUGAUCCAGCCAUACCGCGUGGGUGAAGAAGGCCUUCGGGUUGUAAAGCCCUUUUGUUGGGAAAGAAAAGCAGCAGGUUAAUACCCCGCUGUUCUGACGGUACCCAAAGAAUAAGCACCGGCUAACUUCGUG